Molecule: ribosomal RNA, 482 nt
Filed under: uncultured bacterium
Lineage: Bacteria
Description: bacterial SSU rRNA
Rfam family: Bacterial small subunit ribosomal RNA
Source: RNAcentral
GACGAACGCUUGCGGCGUGCCUGAGAAAUGCAAGUCGAGCGGGCAGCAAGGCUUCGGUUUUGCUGUUAGCGGCGAACGGUCGAGUAACACGUAAGCAACCUGCCCCACAGUCGGGGAUAACAGCGGGAAACUGCUGCUAAUACCGGAUAGGCAUAGCUUUUCGCCUGAAGAGCUGUGUAAAGGCUAGACUGCUGUGGGAGGGGCUUGCGGCCUAUUAGCUAGUUGGUGGGGUAACGGCCUACCAAGGCGACGAUGGGUAGCUGGUCUGAGAGGAUGGUCAGCCGGAUCGGGACUGAGACACGGCCCGGACUCCUACGGGGGGCAGCAAUCAGGGAUAUUGCGCAAUGGGGGAAACCCUGACGCAGCGACGCCGCGUGCGGGACGAAGGCCUUCGGGUCGUAAACCGCUGUUGUGGGAGACGAGUGCCCGGUGAUGAGCCGGGAGAGACGGUAUCUCACAAGGAAGCCCCGGCUAACUACGUG